UGUGAUGAAUUAGGUCUACGCUUGCGAGCAAGAGACGUUGGAUUGAGAUUAGGGGUACGAGCGAAGUGUUCGUGGAGAGUUGUACAGGAUAAAAUACACACCUGAGUGAGUAAGAAAAGUAAAUGUUAGAAUGCUAUUUUGUGGACUUAUACGUAACUCGAAGAGGUCUCGAUGUAUGAAAUGUUGUUGUGUAGGGCGGAGGAAAAGUUCGCCUAGAGUGAGCGUGAUAACGGGAUUAUGUUGUUAUGCGUAAAUGAAAUGUUGAAUUAAAAUAGAAAUGUGGCAACUGAGGUUGAAAGGAUGCACAAUAAGUAGCAUGUUUCAGAUUUAUUACAUAAUUAUGCAUAAGAUACUCACCCAGGAGUAAUAAUACAAUGAGGAGUUGUAGAAUUGCACUAUUUUGCAUAUAGUAGUACAGUGGAGUAAAUGUGUGGAGCGUGAAAUUCUUGGAGACUUGAGAAAGUAAUAUAGAAAACCUGUCCUGAUCUAUAAGAAUGGUUGAAUUCUGGAGGUAUUUGAGUUUCGCGGACGAAACUAAUUUAACGGGGGGAUAUUGUAAUAUACCAAAACUCCAGGUUGUGAUGCUAACUUUGACCUAGAGGAUCAAAGAGAAGUUUGAGUUGAAUAUGAAUCGUUAUUGAGCAUUUCUGGAGGCGUGGGAAGGAUUUCUGAAGGUAUUUGAGUGUUUCGGCGUAAAUCGGGCGCGAAACAAAGUUGAAUGAGAAUUUUCGGAUUACAAGGCUAACUUUGAUACAAUU
This 758-nucleotide long non-coding RNA is filed under the name Ananas comosus (pineapple). Its description in RNAcentral is "long non-coding RNA (ACOM_LNC024161)". The record is from RNAcentral. Lineage: Eukaryota; Viridiplantae; Streptophyta; Magnoliopsida; Poales; Bromeliaceae.